RNAcentral lists this long non-coding RNA (230 nucleotides) under Vitis vinifera (wine grape). RNAcentral's name for it is "long non-coding RNA (VVIN_LNC001813)". Lineage: Eukaryota; Viridiplantae; Streptophyta; Magnoliopsida; Vitales; Vitaceae. The record is from RNAcentral.
UCACAUAAAAAAUGUAAUACCUCCAACUAGCUUGCACAACUAACCUUACAACUGAAGCUAAGGUAAGUAUAAUCCCAUCAUGUGACCUUCUCACUUGUUGAAAAUCCUAUAAAGAACUAUAGAUAGUGGGGUUAGAAUCUAUCCACCACAAUUGGUGAAAUCCACUACUAUUUAUUUAACAAUGAGAAUAUGAUGUGUACUUGCCUAUCCUUAGGCACUCUGAACUUUCC